RNAcentral lists this microRNA (20 nucleotides) under Ciona intestinalis (vase tunicate). Its description in RNAcentral is "cin-miR-4006a-5p". The record is from miRBase by way of RNAcentral. Lineage: Eukaryota; Metazoa; Chordata; Ascidiacea; Phlebobranchia; Cionidae.
UGGAACAUGUAAGUAAGGGC